This 1718-nucleotide long non-coding RNA is filed under the name Fukomys damarensis (Damara mole-rat). RNAcentral describes it as "lncRNA (ENSFDAG00000027296.1)". Lineage: Eukaryota; Metazoa; Chordata; Mammalia; Rodentia; Bathyergidae. The record is from RNAcentral.
AGGUCCCCCCGGGACGCACGUGCGCGGCGCCAGGCCCUGCUCGGGUCACUCGGGCGCGGGCAAGGUGACCGCUUCCCCACCGCCGCUCCUAUGGGUUAAGAAAGCCCUUGGCCCUUCUCCUGAGCUCUCUUUCCCGCCUUUCCCUUCGAAGUAGUUUGUGUGUUUUAAAUAAAGAUUUCAUUCUGCCAACCCGCAGGAAGCUUUUAACCAGAUGCAGCUGAGCUUGCCGAGGUCUGCUAUCUUCUCGCUGCGGGGCGGGGUGUUCGGAACUCGAGUCUCCUCUGAACUCCAGUUUAAGGCUGGCAUCGUGCAGGCGCGGUGCCCCUGGGGCUGCUUUACUCUGGCUUCUACACAGCCAUUCUUUGGUGACCUCGGGGAAGACAGGACCCGAAAGCCACGCAAGGACAGUAACGAGGAAGAACCGAAUAAUGAAAUUAAGGAACAUAUGGAAAGGAAAGACACUGUUGACAGGGAGGCAAUUAUCUUAGGAGAAGCUCCAAGCCCACUUCAGGUGAGUUUGAUUUCUAAACACAAGAGUCUGCCCUAAUCCACGGAUUUCAUUUCCCUGGUUCUAGUUACCCGUGGUUAACCACACUUUUAGAAUAUCAAUAUGUAUAUCUUGAUUCUUGUAAGAGAGAGACCACAUUCACAUAAUUUUAUUACAGCAUAUUGGUAUAAUUGUUCUACUUUACUAUUUUAUUGUUGUUAAUUUCCUACUGGGUCUAAUUUAUCAGUUAGAGUUUAUAUAGGAAAAGAUACAGUAUCUAUUACAUAGGCAGCAGGCAAUAAGGGUCCUGGGAUUUAGCUCAGUGGUUCUGCUACGUGCCUUGCAAGCGCAAGGACCUGAGUUCGAUCCCUGGUACAAAAAAAAAGAGAAAGAGAUGAGGAAUCAUUUCCUUCUGAGGAAAACGUAGACAACUAUAGCCAUCUCACAAUUUGCCGUCUUUGUUUAUUUUUUUUAUUUUUUACUUUCCUGUGCAGAAACAAUGGGCAUAUAAUUCAUUCUCCCUUAUCACCACCUUUCCUUCUACAGUUAUGCCAAUUGGCAGAAAGUAUGAGUAGAAACAGUUUCAUCCUGAUAGUAGUUUGGGAAGGCGGGCCCUUGUGAACCCAACCGCUCCUGCCAUUGCACGUGGGACUAAGACAGUUCUCUGCUCUUCCAGCUUUCAUUUGGUCGGUGAAGGCACAGGCCUAAUGCGCCCUUAAUCUAAUGCUACCAAGAUAACACAGGGCAAGGAAAAAGUGCCAUGUGCUCAUCCAAUUUAAGAAGUCUUCAUAAGGGGGGCCGUAUUCUUCAUGAUUGUGUUUUCCAGGUGCUGCACCCACCAUGUGACUGAUGCUAAAUUGCACACAAUCCAAGUAUUUUGGAAAUAUGGAUUUUUUUCCUUUUGUAUUAAUUUUGUUGAUCAUUUUCCAUCCUAACCCUUCCAUCCCAGGUGCUUUUCUCUGUGUCCUUUGGAUUUGUCUUUAGAAACUACAUCGGACUGGUUCUGUUGUCCUCUACAGCGGGCAGUGGAGGCUGAAUAAAAAGAAUGCAAUCCACAAAUGCUUUAGGCGAGUGAUUAAAAUACAUCUUAUAAAUUAAAGAUUGGAGCGAGUUUUUUUUUUAAAGAAAGUUGCAUACCAUUUGAUAAAGAAAAUCUAAUAGUUCCUAUGAGUUUUUAAAUCUACUUUUACCUUCAGAAUUAAUAAAAUCUUAGCAAAUACGGCUUCACCUA